GACGAACCGUGCGAACGUUGUUCGGAAUCACUGGCUUAAAGGGCGCGUAGACGGGUGACCAAGUCAGGGGUGAAAUCUUUCGGCCCAACCGGAAAAGUGCCUCUGAUACUGGUCGUCUUGAGGGAGGUAGGGGUCGAGGGAACUGGUGGUGGAGCGGUGAAAUGCGUAGAUAUCACUAGGAACGCCGGUGGCGAAAGCGCUCGACUGGACCUCUUCUGACGCUGAGGCGCGAAAGCCAGGGGAGCAAACGGG
This 252-nucleotide ribosomal RNA is filed under the name uncultured bacterium. RNAcentral's name for it is "partial 16S ribosomal RNA". It matches the Rfam family "Bacterial small subunit ribosomal RNA", at positions 524 to 776 of the family's 1533-position model. The record is from RNAcentral.